RNAcentral lists this unclassified non-coding RNA (353 nucleotides) under soil metagenome. RNAcentral describes it as "partial contains 5.8S ribosomal RNA, internal transcribed spacer 2, and large subunit ribosomal RNA". The stretch from base 1 to 120 matches the Rfam family "5.8S ribosomal RNA", at positions 35 to 154 of the family's 154-position model. The record is from RNAcentral.
GAUGAAGAACGUAGCGAAAUGCGAUAAGUAAUGCGAAUUGCAGAAUUCAGUGAGUCAUCGAAUCUUUGAACGCACAUUGCGCCCGCGAGUAUUCUCGCGGGCAUGCCUGUCCGAGCGUCAUUUCAACCCUCAGGGCCCGCCUGCUUCGGCAGGCGCGGCGCUGGUGUUGGGGAUCGGCCUAACCGCCGUCCCCCAAAUACAGUGGCGGUCUCGCUGCAGCCUCCCCUGCGUAGUAGCAACACUCGCAUGCGGAGCGCGGCGCGGCCACGCCGUAAAACCCCCGACUUUCUGAACGUUGACCUCGGAUCAGGUAGGAAUACCCGCUGAACUUAAGCAUAUCAAUAAGCGGAGGA